GAGGGGUAUAUGGAGCUUGCUCCAUAGAGACCGGCAAACGGGUGCGGAACACGUACACAACCUGCCUCUGUCUUGGGGAUAGCCCAUAGAAAUGUGGAUUAAUACCCAAUGGUAUAUUUUGGUGGCAUCACUAAGAUAUUAAAGAACUUCGGACAGAGAUGGGUGUGCGUAAGAUUAGGUAGUUGGUAGGGUAACGGCCUACCAAGCCCACGAUCUUUAGCUGAUGUGAGAGCAUGAUCAGCCACACGGGCACUGAGACACGGGCCCGACUCCUACGGGAGGCAGCAGUG
RNAcentral lists this ribosomal RNA (290 nucleotides) under uncultured bacterium. Its description in RNAcentral is "partial 16S ribosomal RNA". It matches the Rfam family "Bacterial small subunit ribosomal RNA", at positions 64 to 356 of the family's 1533-position model. The record is from RNAcentral.